GACGAACGCUGGCGGCGUGCUUAACACAUGCAAGUCGAGCGAGGCCCACUCUUCGGGGUGGUGCCCUAGCGGCGAACGGGUGAGUAACACGUGGGCAACCUGCCCUCAGCUCUGGGAUAACUCCAAGAAAUUGGUGCUAAUACCGGAUGUGACCGCUGACCGCAUGGUCUGGUGGUGGAAAGUUUUUCGGUUCGUGGAGU
RNAcentral lists this ribosomal RNA (200 nucleotides) under uncultured bacterium. Its description in RNAcentral is "partial 16S ribosomal RNA". It matches the Rfam family "Bacterial small subunit ribosomal RNA", at positions 28 to 224 of the family's 1533-position model. The record is from RNAcentral.